RNAcentral lists this long non-coding RNA (2455 nucleotides) under Homo sapiens (human). RNAcentral describes it as "non-protein coding lnc-CIT-8:1". Lineage: Eukaryota; Metazoa; Chordata; Mammalia; Primates; Hominidae. The record is from RNAcentral.
AUAACCAUAAAAAUGGGCAACCAUUAGCCCUUGGGGCUUUACUUUUAUUCCUUUACUUUAUUAAUAAACUUGCUUUCACUUUAUGCUAUGGACUUGCCCUGAAUUCUUUCUUGUGCAAGAUCCAAGAACCUUCUCUUGGGGUCUGGAUUGGGACCCCUUUCAUGUAACAUCUUUCUAGUGACCAUGAAGGGACUGUAGUGCAGAAACCCCCAGGAAGUGUUGGGGUCCUGUAACACUUGUGUCUUUUGACCCCUUUCAUAUCCAGUUAAUUGAUCAUGAAGUGAUGUCAACUCUAUUUUCUGAAUAUUAGUUGACUCUCUUCCUUAACCUAGCCAGAAACCAUCAUUUACUUUAGGUAGUUUCCCACCAGGUCUUUUCCUUCCUAUUGGCCACCUGGCUGCCCCAGGGCUUUUUUGAAAAGGCAAAUCUCAUCAUUCCUAUCUUAAUGCUCAAAAUCCUCUAAUGGCUUCCUACUGUUCUCAGGGUGAAGUCCUGAGUCCUUCCUUCUCCUCCUAGCAAUGUCCUCUAAGAUCUGGGAUUUAUCUCUAACCAUUCACCCUGCCAUUCCUUUGCAUCUCUCUACCCCCUUGAAAUUGCACAUGCUUGCUUGCUUUCUUUCUUUCUUUCUUUCUUUCUUUCUUUCUUUCUUUCUUUCUUUCUUUCUUUCUUUCUCUUUCUCUCUCUCUUUCUCUCUCCCUCCCUCCCUCCCCUCCCUCCUUCCUUCCUUUCUCUCUCUUUCUCUUUCUUUCUUUCCUCCUUCCUUCCUCCCUCCUUCUUUCUUUCCUUUCUUUUCCUUCCUUCCUUCCCUCCCUUUUCUUUUCUUCCUUCCUUCCUUCUUCUUCUCCUUCCUCCUCCUUUUCUUCUUCUUCUGUUUUUCUUCUUCUUUUUCUUUCUUUCACUCUUUCUUUCUUUUCUUUUCUUUCUUUCCUUCUUUCUUUCUUUUUCAGAGACAGAGUCUUGCUCUGUUGUCCAUACUGGAGUGCAGUGGUGCCAUCAUAGCUCACUGCAGCCUCAAACUCCUGAGCUCAAGUGAUCCUCCUUCCUUGGCCUCCCAAAAAUUUAGGAUUAUAAGCAUGAACCACUGUGACCCGCCUGCACAUGCUUUUCUUUCUCUCUGCAGCAUCUUCUCCAUUGUCUUCACUUGGCUUGAUUUCUAUUUGUCCUUCAAGGUUUGGGUAAAACUAUCAACUGUUGGUCAUUCAAUACCUCUUCCCUUCUCUCCUCUCAGUUCCAGGCUAGGUCAAGUGCACCCACAGCUCCUUGUACCUAUGUACUUCCUAUUAUUACACUCAGCACACUACAUGGUGAUUGCUGAUUGACUUGUCUGCCUUUCUUACUGUCUGUGGGCUCCUUGAAGUAAGACUCUGGCAUGUAGAAGGCUAUCAGCACUUGGUUUUCCUUCCCUACUUCUCUCUAUUGCUCCCAAUGACAGAAAGUGCCAGUUGCCUACCAAGUAUCAACUUGCCUAGCUUCUUUAGUAAUAGACCACAUUAUCGUGGGCAUCAAUAUGCCUAGAUUAACAACCAGCAAAGCAAAGCAAAAUCAAACAACAACCACCACAAACAAAAACUAUAUUUCCCAGCUGCCUUUCCCGAUAGGCUAGGCCAAUGAGGUACAAGUGGAAGUCAUUUAAAGAGGCUUCUGGGAAAAUUCUUUAAAGGAAAUUGGCAAGCUGGGUAACAUAUGCCCGUUAGCCCCUUUUUCAGUUCCUUUCUGUUGCCUGAAGCUGCUCCAGCAGCCAUUUUCUGAGCAUGAGGAAUUCUGGCAGAUGGAAGCAAAUACGGAGGAUGGUGGAUAAAACCUAGAAGGAACCCAGGUACUGGAUGACCAGGAAGCUGCCAUACCAGUACUAGAUCACCUUCAUCCAAAUGUAAACCCUUUUUAUGUGAGGGAGGUAAUUCUUUAUUUUGUUUAAGCCAUAGUGAUUUCAGGGCUCUGCUACCAUGCAGCAGAAUACAGUUCCAAGAGACAAUAUCUCUUUCUCUGCCUCUUUCUUUUUUCUUGACCAAACUAUCACAAUUCACACAUUUAAAAUGCUAUUGUCCUUGGCUAAAUCAAUGGCCAUGGACCAGAAAAGGAUAUUGGGAGAGGCUGGUUUAGAUAAUUGGGUAGUAACAAGGAAACUUAGAAACAUGAAACUCUGUCAAGAGAAUUUGGCCUGGGAGAGUCUCCACUGAGCGUGUCCAGGGCAGCUGGUAAAUAGGCAACAGGUGAGUCUGAGCCUGUAAGAAAUGAGGGCUGGGACAGGAGGGGGUGGUGGCACUUAGAGAGAAACAGGAGGUUUCUCUCUAUAGUGAUGGCUUGAGUGAGGCACUGAGCUAAGCACUUUAUAUGCAUUAUCUCAUCAAACUUUCACAACAUCCUAUGAAGUAAGUACUAUUAUCCCCAUUUUGCUGAUGAGGAAACUAAGGCUCAAAGAAGUCAAAUAGUCUGACCAUAGGGUUAGUAAGAGGUG